Molecule: ribosomal RNA, 424 nt
Filed under: uncultured prokaryote
Description: bacterial SSU rRNA
Rfam family: Bacterial small subunit ribosomal RNA
Source: RNAcentral
UGGGGAAUCUUGGACAAUGGGGGCAACCCUGAUCCAGCCAUGCCGCGUGAGCGAUGAAGGCCUUAGGGUUGUAAAGCUCUUUCACCCGUGAAGAUAAUGACGGUAGCGGGAGAAGAAGCCCCGGCUAACUCCGUGCCAGCAGCCGCGGUAAUACGAAGGGGGCUAGCGUUGUUCGGAAUUACUGGGCGUAAAGCGCGCGUAGGCGGAUCUUUAAGUCAGGGGUGAAAUCCCGAGGCUCAACCUCGGAAUUGCCUCUGAUACUGGAGAUCUUGAGUCCGAGAGAGGUGAGUGGAACUCCGAGUGUAGAGGUGAAAUUCGUAGAUAUUCGGAAGAACACCAGUGGCGAAGGCGGCUCACUGGCUCGGUACUGACGCUAAGGUGCGAAAGCGUGGGGAGCAAACAGGAUUAGAUACCCCGGUAGUCC